GUGCUGGCUUCAGCAGCACAUAUGAUAAAAAUGGAAAGAUUCAGAGAAGAUUAGCGUCACUCCUGCACAAGGAAGACCUGCAAAUUCACGAAGCAUUCCAUAGUUUU
Molecule: small nuclear RNA, 107 nt
Filed under: Moschus moschiferus (Siberian musk deer)
Lineage: Eukaryota; Metazoa; Chordata; Mammalia; Artiodactyla; Moschidae
Source: RNAcentral